GUUUUAGUAGCUUAACCAUAAAGCACUGGUCUUGUAAGCCAGAGACGGGGAAUUCCCUCCCCCUAAAACA
RNAcentral lists this transfer RNA (70 nucleotides) under Anguis graeca (Greek slow worm). Its description in RNAcentral is "tRNA-Thr". It matches the Rfam family "tRNA". Rfam says of the family: Transfer RNA (tRNA) molecules are approximately 80 nucleotides in length. Their secondary structure includes four short double-helical elements and three loops (D, anti-codon, and T loops). Lineage: Eukaryota; Metazoa; Chordata; Lepidosauria; Squamata; Anguidae. The record is from RNAcentral.